AUUAACGUCGAUCUUAAUCCUUUUCGGCGUUAUUAUUUUUCUGUUCAAUAGUGGGCCCGAGGACACAUUUCCUGCUGUCCAACUGUCUUCCGUUUCGGUUUCCUUACAAAACAUCAGAUCCAACGAUUCCCUUCUUCAUCUUACAACACUCGCAAACUGGAAAUUAGGGUUUGCCGUCGACGUUAACGGCACAAUUAGGUCGGCGAAAUACGACAACUACGCCAUCAAGGACUCGUACGUCUGGGUAAUCUGCAUGUCUGGGAAUUGGACCGGAACCCUAGUUAAGACAAUCGGCCACGAUUCGGGGAACGUUGUUAAUGUCGGUGCGACGUUAGACACGUUGCUGCCGAAUUACGGUCGUCCUCAGUUGAUUAAAGGACUGCCGCUUGAGUUCGAGGCUAUGUUACAUUUGUGGUAUACAGGAUGCAGAUUAGACGUUGUGUGCGAGAAUGUGACGGUCGCGUUUUCGCCGAAUGCAACUGAAGGGGUUAUGACUGGAGGGCCGAGAUUGUGUGGCAUCAAGAUACUUCGAUUUCCGUAAGAUUUUUCUCUUUAUUAUUAUAUUCUUUUUCGUUAAUUAAUAACGGUUGCGGAUUUAGUUUGUUCCAUGAUAUGAUCGGUGUUUUUUUUUUAUCUCGACUUUUAUUUGUGAUUACCAUAGAAAUUCUUGUCUACUUUUACUCCUUUACUACGUUUUCAUCAUGAUUGUGUUUUCAUAAUGAUUGUGUGAGAAGAUAAAAAUACUCUUACCAACAUAACCCUAAGCCCUCUCUUGCUCGCCUCUCUUUCCCUUGCCGGAGAAAGGGGCACUGUCCGCACGAAUUUGAUGUAGGAGAAGGCUCGACUUUGGGUUUAAAAUUGCUUAGAUAGACAAGGAGUUAAUUUUCGUGUCAUACAUGGUUAGAAAGAUCUUAAAGUCUAGUUUCUAACUAAAAAACGGUUUACAUAACAAAAAUUGAAGGAAGAAGCUAUGCUCAGUUUUUUAGAGUUUGUAAAUUAAACUGCUUUGAUUGACAUGGAGUUAAUUUUGGUGCUAUGCAUGGUUAGAAAUAUCUUGAAGUCUAGUUUCAAACAAAAAAAUGAUUUACAAAACAAAGGUGUAAGGAAGAAAUUAUGCUAUGUUUUCUAGAGUCUGCCAACAGGGCAUAUAUAGUCAUUCAUAGUCAGUAUUGACUUUAAUUUGUGAAUUUAUUAGUUAUUGCUUGUUGUUGAAUGGUUUUUGGUUAGAUGAUCUAUGCUAUGUCUGUCUGAUGAUUAUAUUGUAAUUAAUGUUCGCUUGUGCUUUGAAGGAGUUCAUGAGACUUGGCAACAACAAUUUUAAUGAGUAGGCGAAUUGGAGAGAAUCAACUCUUAGUCAUAUGUAGUCAUAUACACGAUAUGUAGGUUGUAAGUUUUUUUCUAAUGUAAAGUGAUAUUGAUGGUUGUUUUAGUUGAAGAAUUUAUACAUGUGAUUUUUUGGAUCUAUUUGUGUGAACUACAAGUUGACUUAUAAU
This 1493-nucleotide long non-coding RNA is filed under the name Erythranthe guttata (spotted monkey flower). RNAcentral describes it as "long non-coding RNA (EGUT_LNC000817)". The record is from RNAcentral. Lineage: Eukaryota; Viridiplantae; Streptophyta; Magnoliopsida; Lamiales; Phrymaceae.